AACGAACGCUGGCGGCAGGCCUAACACAUGCAAGUCGAGCGCCCCGCAAGGGGAGCGGCGGACGGGUGCGUAACGCGUGGGAACGUACCCUUUGCUACGGAAUAGCCUCGGGAAACUGGGAGUAAUACCGUAUGUGUCCUUCGGGAGAAAGAUUUAUCGGCAAGGGAUCGGCCCGCGUUGGAUUAGGUAGUUGGUGGGGUAAUGGCCUACCAAGCCGACGAUCCAUAGCUGGUUUGAGAGGAUGAUCAGCCACACUGGGACUGAGACACGGCCCAGACUCCUACGGGAGGCAGCAGUGGGGAAUCUUAGACAAUGGGCGCAAGCCUGAUCUAGCCAUGCCGCGUGAGCGAUGAAGGCCUUAGGGUUGUAAAGCUCUUUCAGGGGGGAAGAUAAUGACUGUACCCCCAGAAGAAGCCCCGGCUAACUCCGUG
This 431-nucleotide ribosomal RNA is filed under the name uncultured bacterium. RNAcentral describes it as "partial 16S ribosomal RNA". It matches the Rfam family "Bacterial small subunit ribosomal RNA", at positions 29 to 507 of the family's 1533-position model. The record is from RNAcentral.